Oncorhynchus tshawytscha (Chinook salmon) is the source of this 783-nucleotide long non-coding RNA. Lineage: Eukaryota; Metazoa; Chordata; Actinopteri; Salmoniformes; Salmonidae. The record is from Ensembl.
UGUGUGUGUAAGUGUGUGUGUGUGUGAGAGAGAGAGAAAAUAUACAUUUAUUCUGUUUUGUUAUUGUUGCCAGUCGUGUCCAUGAGUAUUCAACUAGGCUUGAAAUGAUUUACAUUUCCCUCUCUCUGUAGUCACAAAGCUAGAAGCUGAGAGAGGUGGCCCCUAGUAAAGACUCAACAUCUGUCUGUGGUCAUGAAGCUGAGAGAGGUGGCCCCGAGUAAAGACUCAACAUCUGUCUGUGGUCAUGAAGCUGAGAGAGGUGGCCCCGAGUAAAGACUCAACAUCUGUCUGUGGUCAUGAAGCUGAGAGAGGUGGCCCCUAGUAAAGACUCAACAUCUGUCUGUGGUCAUGAAGCUGAGAGAGGUGGCCCCUAGUAAAGACUCAACAUCUGUCUGUGGUCAUGAAGCUGAGAGAGGUGGCCCCGAGUAAAGACUCAACAUCUGUCUGUGGUCAUGAAGCUGAGAGAGGUGGCCCCUAGUAAAGACUCAACAUCUGUCUGUGGUCAUGAAGCUGAGAGAGGUGGCCCCAAGUAAAGAUUCAACAUAUUUUUGCAAAUGUGCAUACUGUAUAUAUUUGUGUGUACACAUACAGUUGAAGUCGGAAGUUUACAUACAUUUAGGUUGGAGUCAUUAAAACACGUUUUUCAACCACUCCACAAAUUUCUUGUUAAACUAUAGUUUUGGCAUGUCGGUAAGGACAUCUACUUUGUGCAUGACAUAAAUUUUCCAUCAAUUAUUUAUAGACAGAUUAUUUCACUUAUAAUUCACUGUAUCACAAUUCCCG